AUACAGCAAUGGCCCCCACACCUGGAAGGACUCAGGCUCUGAAUCCAGCACCUUCAGGAAUCAAGUGAGGGCACCCCAGAGGCCCUAUGCUUGAGGGAGACUGACGAAAACAGGUGGAUCUAGGUAAAAUCAGUCUCUGCUACCCUCCUCAUCUAAACCCUCAGCGCAGGGCCACCUUGGAAGCCAUGUGUUAACACUGAGUGAUCCUCAUCAGCCAAGUCCCUAAUGCAUGGAAAAGAACCUCCUGACCCCAGUCCCCACAGACAGGACUUUUCCUUUGCAAGAAAUAAGGAUGGUAAAGUUAACCAUAAACAACAAAGUCAUGGAGUCAAGCUGUCACAAUUGACCACCAUUCCUAAGGCAUUUGAAUUGUAUGUAUUGACAGGAAAAAGCAGGAAGGAGUGAAGACAGAAGAUGGGGAGAAUGUAACCUGAGUUGGAAGGUGUAAUAUUUAAAUGUAUUUGCAAACCUGGUUUGGGCCAAAAGGGGUAGGAGGAAGAGAAGAAGCAUUUGCUGAGAUCUAUUAUAUGCCAAUUGGAGGACUACAAAAUUCACAAUUCACAUCUGUUGUCUUAUUUCUUUCUCAUAAUCCCAAAGAUAAUUCUAAAGGUACACAUUAUUGUCUUCAUUUACAAUUAAGAAUUGAUGCUCCAAGAAGAAAGAUCUCACAGUGUGUAGGCAACAGACCUGGGAUUCAAACCUAUAUUGGUGGGUGUUAAUGUCCUUGUUCUUUCUGAUGUAAGCAUGUAACCUUUCCACAUCUCUGAUUCUGUGCUCAAGGUGGGCCAAGGCAUGCUGCUUGUAAGACAGGGUUCCUGUGAUGACACAAGUCAUUAAUGCAAGUGUUAAGUGCCAUGCAUGCACAGAAGCCACUUAAAAUGGGUUUUCGGAAAUGAAAGCUGGGCUCAAACAGAGCCCACUUUCAAGGGGGCCUGGUUUAAGUGGCCAAACUCUCAAGAAGAAAGGCAUUAAAGGAAGAGCCUUUCUGCUGGGCUGGCAAAACUUUAGGUUCAUGAAUUCAGGAGGAGACUGAGGAGGAGAAAACAGCGUUUUAGAAUGCAGCCUCAGGAGCUGCCUGCACCUCUCAGGCCAGGAGGUUGGCUUUUCCAAUUGUGCGAUUCAGCUAUUCUACCCAGCCCCAUCUCUCAUUUUCAAUUAAUCUGCACUAAUGAAUUCAACAACCAAAAUGCAUUUGCUAAUUGAGGUGCUUGCUGGCCAGGUCAUCCCCACUCCCUUGUCUGACAGCUGGUUCUCCCCACUGUACCAGGGUAAAGUAGGGUAGUAGAGGUUUCUGCUCUCCUCAUCCCCUGCUGCCCCUGAGGGGAAUACCCAGUGGGCAAGAGAAGGCCCAGCCUGGGAGAGAAUGCUCAUAAUAUAUUACUAAGUCACAGACAGAAAUUGCUCCUCCGGGCACAGUCUUUCACUUUUUGUUUCCAAGUGAAAGCUCAUGACCAUCCCAGCCAUGUUAUCUCCCUGGCCCUUGGAAGCUGUCAUGUAAUGGAAAGGGCAUUAAACUCAGGCCAGGAAAUUCUUGAUACAGAACCCAGACUGUUGUUUAUAACUGGGUUGACUUUGGAAAGUGACUGCCUCCCUCUCAGUUUGCCCAUCUGGAAAAUGAAACUAAUGGAACUG
Pongo pygmaeus (Bornean orangutan) is the source of this 1632-nucleotide long non-coding RNA. RefSeq lists it as uncharacterized. NCBI's taxonomy places the organism in Eukaryota, Metazoa, Chordata, Mammalia, Primates, Hominidae. The record is from RefSeq and is a predicted model, not a curated record. The transcript is spliced from 3 exons.